RNAcentral lists this ribosomal RNA (460 nucleotides) under uncultured Halomonadaceae bacterium. Its description in RNAcentral is "bacterial SSU rRNA". It matches the Rfam family "Bacterial small subunit ribosomal RNA", at positions 734 to 1193 of the family's 1533-position model. Lineage: Bacteria; Pseudomonadati; Pseudomonadota; Gammaproteobacteria; Oceanospirillales; Halomonadaceae. The record is from RNAcentral.
CUGACACUGACACUGAGGUGCGAAAGCGUGGGUAGCAAACAGGAUUAGAUACCCUGGUAGUCCACGCCGUAAACGAUGUCGACCAGCCGUUGGGUGCCUAGCGCACUUUGUGGCGAAGUUAACGCGAUAAGUCGACCGCCUGGGGAGUACGGCCGCAAGGUUAAAACUCAAAUGAAUUGACGGGGGCCCGCACAAGCGGUGGAGCAUGUGGUUUAAUUCGAUGCAACGCGAAGAACCUUACCUACUCUUGACAUCCUGCGAAUUUGGUAGAGAUACCUUAGUGCCUUCGGGAACGCAGAGACAGGUGCUGCAUGGCUGUCGUCAGCUCGUGUUGUGAAAUGUUGGGUUAAGUCCCGUAACGAGCGCAACCCUUGUCCUUAUUUGCCAGCGCGUAAUGGCGGGAACUCUAAGGAGACUGCCGGUGACAAACCGGAGGAAGGUGGGGACGACGUCAAGUCAU